GGGCUAUAGUUGAGUGGCAGAGCACUUGCUUGGCAUGCAGAAGGCCCUGGGUUCGAUUCCCGACGGCAUCC
Molecule: non-coding RNA, 71 nt
Organism: Podarcis lilfordi (Lilford's wall lizard)
Lineage: Eukaryota; Metazoa; Chordata; Lepidosauria; Squamata; Lacertidae
Source: the annotation of a GenBank genome assembly